GUUCACGAGGAGGCAGCGGGCGCGGGAGUGCGUUGGGGGCGGGGGGUGGCAGGAGGUACUGGGCGUAAAGCGCGUGCAGGGUGCUCAUGACGGCGGGCGGGAAAGCCCGCGACUCAACCGGGGAGGGGCGGCGGGGACGGAUGGGCUGGAGGGUCGCAGGGGCUGGUGGAAUUCCCGGUGUAGUGGUGAAAUGCGUAGAGAUCGGGAGGAACACCCGUGGCGAAGGCGGCCAGCUGGGCGACACCUGACACUGAGACGCGAAGGUGUGGGGAGCGAACGGGAUUAGAUACCCCUGUAGUC
This 300-nucleotide ribosomal RNA is filed under the name uncultured Pyrobaculum sp. RNAcentral describes it as "bacterial SSU rRNA". It matches the Rfam family "Bacterial small subunit ribosomal RNA", at positions 496 to 795 of the family's 1533-position model. Lineage: Archaea; Thermoproteati; Thermoproteota; Thermoprotei; Thermoproteales; Thermoproteaceae. The record is from RNAcentral.